RNAcentral lists this ribosomal RNA (440 nucleotides) under uncultured bacterium. RNAcentral describes it as "bacterial SSU rRNA". It matches the Rfam family "Bacterial small subunit ribosomal RNA", at positions 8 to 447 of the family's 1533-position model. The record is from RNAcentral.
AGAGUUUGAUCCUGGCUCAGGAUGAACGCUAGCGGCAGGCCUAAUACAUGCAAGUCGGACGGGAUUGAGGAGCUUGCUCUUCAUGAGAGUGGCGCACGGGUGCGUAACACGUAUGUAACCUACCUUUAUCAGGGGGAUAGCCUCUCGAAAGAGAGAUUAAGCCCGCAUAACAUGGAGAUGCAGCAUUGCAAUUCCAUCAAAUAUUUAUAGGAUAAAGAUGGGCAUGCGGAACAUUAGCUAGUUGGUAAGGUAACGGCUUACCAAGGCUACGAUGUUUAGGGGAUCUGAGAGGAUGACCCCCCACACUGGAACUGAAACACGGUCCAGACUCCUACGGGAGGCAGCAGUGGGGAAUCUUGCGCAAUGGGGGAAACCCUGACGCAGCAACGCCGCGUGGAGGAUGAAGUCCUUCGGGACGUAAACUCCUUUCGAUCGGGACG